Molecule: RNA transcript, 671 nt
Organism: Tribolium castaneum (red flour beetle)
Lineage: Eukaryota; Metazoa; Arthropoda; Insecta; Coleoptera; Tenebrionidae
Exons: 3
Source: RefSeq, a predicted model, not a curated record
UGAUAUUACCCACAAUAAAUAUAAUCUAAAUAGGUAACACAUGUUAAGCACAAGUGACUGUUUAUUAAAUGAUAAGAUAAUCAUUUCACUCAUUAUUCUAUUUAAGUGCCAAAAAUGAGACCAACAAUAUUUUUACUCAUUUCAGUGAUUUUGGUUGUUAAUUCAGGAUCACAAUACUGUGAGCCAAAAGAUGAGUUUCCAGACGAUAAUUCAGAUACCGCCGACACGGAAUGGGAUCUUUUUAUGGAUAAACUUGACCAAGUUACGUUGAAAAAAAAUUAUACAAAACCUUGCAAAAGACACCCCGAUCAGCAGGUAGUCAUCAAUGCGAGUUCACCCAUUUUGUGGGAAUUACGCUUUGAUUUAUACAACAAGAGGCAGCAAAAAGAAGAAAAGACAAUCGAGCAAUGUUAUUCGGAAAAUCAAGGAAAAACACCUAAUACAGGUUGCAAUACCGAGGGCUUUAGAGAGUGCAUGAAAAGUGCAAGAAGGGCGAUGCUCGAAGAUUUGAAUUCCAAAUGGUGGGAGAGCAAAAUUAACAAGAAGUUGGAGGAAAAAGCCGAAGCUUGUUAAUGUAUUUAUUAAAACUGUUGCAAUUCGGGAUAAAUGUCUCAUUGCAAAGUAAAAUUUUAUAACUUAUUGUAACUGAAAAAUAAACAUACUAAAAAGUC